Molecule: ribosomal RNA, 446 nt
Filed under: uncultured bacterium
Lineage: Bacteria
Description: bacterial SSU rRNA
Rfam family: Bacterial small subunit ribosomal RNA
Source: RNAcentral
CCAGACUCCUACGGGAGGCAGCAGUCGGGAAUAUUGCGCAAUGGAGGAAACUCUGACGCAGUGACGCCGCGUAUAGGAAGAAGGUUUUCGGAUUGUAAACUAUUGUCGUGAGGGAAGAAAUUGACAGUACCUCAGGAGGAAGCUCCGGCUAACUACGUGCCAGCAGCCGCGGUAAUACGUAGGUGGCAAGCGUUAUCCGGAUUUACUGGGUGUAAAGGGCGUGUAGGCGGGGAAGCAAGUCAGAUGUGAAAACCACGGGCUCAACCUGUGGCCUGCAUUUGAAACUGUUUUUCUUGAGUGCUGGAGAGGCAAUCGGAAUUCCGUGUGUAGCGGUGAAAUGCGUAGAUAUACGGAGGAACACCAGUGGCGAAGGCGGAUUGCUGGACAGUAACUGACGCUGAGGCGCGAAAGCGUGGGGAGCAAACAGGAUUAGAUACCCUCGUACU